This 433-nucleotide ribosomal RNA is filed under the name uncultured bacterium. Its description in RNAcentral is "partial 16S ribosomal RNA". It matches the Rfam family "Bacterial small subunit ribosomal RNA", at positions 29 to 507 of the family's 1533-position model. The record is from RNAcentral.
AACGAACGCUGGCGGCAUGCCUAACACAUGCAAGUCGAACGAGACCUUCGGGUCUAGUGGCGCACGGGUGCGUAACGCGUGGGAACCUGCCCUUAGGUUCGGAAUAACUCCCCGACAGGGGUGCUAAUACCGGAUAAUGUCUUCGGACCAAAGAUUUAUCGCCUUUGGAUGGGCCCGCGUUGGAUUAGCUAGUUGGUAGGGUAAAAGCCUACCAAGGCGACGAUCCAUAGCUGGUCUGAGAGGAUGAUCAGCCACACUGGGACUGAGACACGGCCCAGACUCCUACGGGAGGCAGGAGUGGGUAAUAUUGGACAAUGGGCGAAAGCCUGAUCCAGCAAUGCCGCGUGAGUGAUGAAGGCCUGAGGGUUGUAAAGCUCUUUUACCCGGGAUGAUAAUGACAGUACCGGGAGAAUAAGCUCCGGCUAACUCCGUG